Molecule: RNA transcript, 3472 nt
Organism: Melopsittacus undulatus (budgerigar)
Lineage: Eukaryota; Metazoa; Chordata; Aves; Psittaciformes; Psittaculidae
Gene: ZNF821
Gene name: zinc finger protein 821
Exons: 2
Source: RefSeq, a predicted model, not a curated record
CAAGUAAUUUACUGGGCAGAUAAAUGCUAUCUGUCAGCUUAUUUUUGAGCUGAGCUGAUAGGACAGAUCUCUGUUUCUCCAGCACUGCCAAGCCCCUGGCAGUUGAAAUGGUGAAGAUGCUGUACAUCAGCACUUCUUGUGGGCAGGCUGCAGGGAGCUGUUAGUGGAGCUGGAACGCGUAUGGAUGUUUGGCUCAAAGGGGAAACUGCACAUGUAUGGCUUUUGUUUGACUGAUUGCAGCUGAGGAAUUCUGGGGACUAAAGCCAUGCCCUUGUUCAUAUCCAGCUGUGUUGCUAGAGACAUGGUUAGAAUUUGGGCUGGAAUGAGGAAAACAAAUUCCUGCUUCUGUAGAUCUGUGAAAGCAAGCAAGGCUGAUGAGAGGGCCCUAGGUAUUGCUAAGUUCAGUAGCUGCCAGGGGUAUGGGACAGAGAGUUGAAUGCUGCAGCCCUAACACUGCCUCACUUUGCUGAUACUGCUGGCUUGCAUGUCUCUUCCUGUUUCUUUGUGUUGCCUUUCCAUAUGGGUAUAGCAACAGGAAUCUACACUUGCUAUUCUCUGUACUAGGAGAAAAUACACUGGGAUAUAGCCUAACACUUUGUAUGCUCAGUGAGUGUACUGGAGAAAUUUAUCUCUGCUGGGACUUAAAAGCCCCAUUGGCUGCUAGAGCCAGGCAUGGGAGAGCUGACAAAGCUUCCCUUGGUGGCCAUCUAAGGGUCUGAGGCAUAACUUUUGGCAUCUGCACUGACUUGUGCUUUCCUGUUUCGGUUUCUGGUGCUGGGUUCCACAUGGGCAGAGUGGAGCUUUGAUUUGCCUGAUAGCAUUUUAAUCACUUUGAAAUUGUCUCCCUUAGAGGAAUAUGAUUUGUCCUGUGCUUUGUCCUGUGAUGCCAGUAUCACAUCUUUUGUCCACACACUUUUGCUUCUGAAAGUGCCCACAGAUUACUCCUGGUGUUCAGAUCAGACUUAAGUAAGUCAUGCAUUUACACUGUCUUCCCUGGUGUAGAGCUGUGGUCUCUCGUGUGGAAACGAAGGGUAUUAAGCUCUACUGGUUCAGGUAGAGUUUUCAUGAAUGUUUAGGCAGGCAGUUUUUGCACUUCACAUGAGAAAACUCAUGCAGUUUCCUGUGGAAGGGUGAUGUUCUUCAGAAGCUUGAACUAUUAUAUACAAAGCUAUACAUAUGAUGGAGUUCAGUUAUAUGCUGUUUUCACAGUGAACGGCAGCUUUUUUUACCUGCAAUACAAGUGGUUGUAUUUCCAGUGUUGGUCUUGGGGGAAGCUAUCUGACAAACAUGCUACCAGCGAGCAUGACGUUGGGGUUGGCAUCUGGUAUGACAUAGAGGGGAGUUCUGGAACCUGUUCACCUCCUUUACAUGCAGUACAUUGCUACAGAGCAACUAUACAACAGGAGCCAUCAGAAGCACCUGCUGUGUAUCUGGAGGGCCCAGAAAUGCCAUGCAGUGCACUCACGAGGAAAAUCGCAAAGAGCAUCAGCUCCACGAACUGGGUGAGCCAGCAGGAUGAGGAGUCAGGCUGAGACAUAGCAGUCACGUUACUGAGACUUCUUCACAGGGACUGAAGUGGUUGGGAGGAAAGGAGUAAAAGGGACAGCAGGUAUGCAGCUUUUUGUGCAGUUGUCUGCAGCUGGGGUCUGAUUUGGCAGGCUAUGGGGCUGGGGAAGCUCUUUUGGAUUUGCGUAAGUACCACUGUAUCUAACUGGACAGAUCUGUGGGAGGAUGGUGCCUACUUCUUUCUUGCAUGGCUACUCCAUGUUAGCUUCUUUCUUGGAUUCACAAGGGCGAGCGGCAGCUGCAGAUCUCGCUUGGCUUGCUUGGUGCCACCUCUUUCCAGGGUUACUUUCCAGGUUUGACAUAGCCCCCGUUUAACCUUGUUCUCACAACAGCAUGGCUUGCUGUCCUCGCUUAACACAGAAUCAUUCUGUUCAGCAUGCAGAUUGACCAGCUGGGAAGUUGUGUGGUUACGAAACAGUUUUAAAUGGAAGUUAAAAAUGUGUGAGGAAAUUCAAAGUAAUACAGAAACAAUGAUGAAAGUUAUCACAAAAGUCUCCUGGUGCAUGAUGGCCAGUCCUUCUACAGUGUUAAUUGUAGUCAUCUCCCCUUUGGUGCGGCUGCAGCACACAAUUGGUUCUUAAUAAUUUAAUUCUAUUUUGCCACAUGGUGCAUGAAAAGCACACCUGGCAAAUAGCAAUACUGGAAUAGAUGCAGUGCAUUGCCCAUUCCAUAUUGAACUGUAAACUACAAUUUAACUGAAUUGUUCCUGUGAAGAUACCUUAAUUGAUUCCUUUUGAUCUAUUUUCUCCCAGAGUCUGAAGUAUAAGGUACAGAAUCUCUCUAAGCAAUUCAUCUAAUCUUGCGCUCAAGCUCUCCCAGUGCUGUGCUUUCAUCCCAUCGGUUAUGCUGCUCUUCUGCUGCUCUUCUGCUUGCCAAAAAGUUGCUGCAGGUGUUAGUGUGCACUUUUAUUUCUGUCCCCGCUGUCCCAUGGGCUGUUCUUCUCUCUAUUGCUUGUACCCCCUGCAAUUGAUGCUUAUUUUAGAGCUCUUGAGAACAGGUUUUGUUAGACAAUUAUCCUGGUACAAAUAUCCUAUUAAUCUUCUAUUUCCUUUCCUCUCCCUCUGGCACGCACACAUUCUGGGCUCUUCAGUGUUCCUUGAAUUCUGCUGUCUGUAAUAUUCCCAGUUUGAAGAGAAAAUGUCUUGUGAGAAAUAGCACCCACCAUUCAAACCCAAGCAGAAAUGUUACUUGCAUCAAAAUCCUUUGUUCUUAAAGGGCUCUGUGGGCUGCUGUUGUUAACUCUUUCAAUUGUGUUGUUUUUCAUUUCAGUAACCACUACAGCAGUGUGGACAACCCAAAAUAGCGAUGGGGCAGGUGGAGUAGAUCCACAGUGGUGGAAACACUUGCAAAUUUCAGGUCCAGGAAAGGAACACAGAAGACCUACAUGAACAGGGACCUUAAAUUGAUGUAUGAGGAGGGAGUAAAGAGGCUCAUCUGAGAGACCUUUCUGUUUAGGAAGGAAGACAGGGGAACGAUGCAGUUUCUUUUGAUUUUGUUUUGUGGAUUUUUGGGUGGGGGUUGUUUGUUGUGUGUUUGUUUUCCAGAACACCUGAGAGCUAUCCUGCAUUCAUACAGUUCAAGAAGGGAAGGGCUCAGGAAAAAUAUCAUUUCUGGCUACAAAGUCGAGACAGCACCAGAUCCUAGCAGUCGUUACGCCCCUGUUGCACUGUUCCACAGGGUUGCCCCCUACCUGCACAGCUGCUCACCUGGCAUCCCACUCAUUUACAAGAGUAUGGAGAGAACUGGAAUGCAAAGCUGAGGCAUUUUUAUGAUCUUUUAUUGUCCUACAUUUCCAGCUGUUUGUAAAACAAAUGCAGUGACUUGUUUUGGUGUUGUGGUCAGACUGUUUCAGUGUUGUGGUCAGCCUGCAGCCAUUUUUGUAUUUAAUAAAGAAACUUCUGCAGAA